AAGGAUGUAAGCUCGAGGCCGAGC
This 24-nucleotide microRNA is filed under the name Amborella trichopoda. Its description in RNAcentral is "atr-miR8591". The record is from miRBase by way of RNAcentral. Lineage: Eukaryota; Viridiplantae; Streptophyta; Magnoliopsida; Amborellales; Amborellaceae.